GCAUAACGCGAAGAACCUUACCAAGGCUUGACAUCCCCUUGACCGGCACAGAGAUGUGCCCUCUCCCUCGGGAGCAAGGGUGACAGGUGGUGCAUGGUUGUCGUCAGCUCGUGUCGUGAGAUGUUGGGUUAAGUCCCGCAACGAGCGCAACCCUUAUCCUUAGUUGCCAGCAUUUAAGGUGGGCACUCUAAGGAGACUGCCGAUGAUAAAUCGGAGGAAGGUGGGGAUGACGUCAAAUCACCAUGCCCCUUAUGUCUUGGACUACACACGUGCUACAAUGGUCGGUACAAAGGGGAGCGAAGGAGUGAUCUGGAGCAAAUCCCAAUAAACCGAUCUCAGUUCGGAUUGUAGGCUGAAACCCGCCUACAUGAAGUCGGAGUUGCUAGUAAUCGCGAAUCAGCAUGUCGCGGUGAAUACGUUCCCGGGUCUUGUACACACCG
Molecule: ribosomal RNA, 440 nt
Filed under: uncultured bacterium
Lineage: Bacteria
Description: bacterial SSU rRNA
Rfam family: Bacterial small subunit ribosomal RNA
Source: RNAcentral